UUCCAGCUCCAAUAGCGUAUAUUAAAGUUGUUGCAGUUAAAAAGCUCGUAGUUGAAUUUCGGGGUUAGUAGGCUGGUCAUGCCUCCGGUAUGUACUGGUCUCACUGAUUCCUCCUUCCUGAUGAACCGUAAUGCCAUUAAUUUGGUGUUGGGGGGAAUCUGGACUGUUACUUUGAAAAAAUUAGAGUGUUUAAAGCAAGCUAACGCUUGAAUACAUUAGCAUGGAAUAAUGAAAUAGGACGUUCGAUCUUAUUUUGUUGGUUUCUAGGAUUGACGUAAUGAUUAAUAGGGAUAGUUGGGGGCAUUAGUAUUCAAUUGUCAGAGGUGAAAUUCUUGGAUUUAUUGAAGACUAACUACUGCGAAAGCAUUUGCCAAGGAUGUUUUCAUUAAUCAAGAACGAAAGUUAGGGGAUCGAAGACGAUCAGAUACCGUCGUAGUCUUAACCAUAAACUAUGCCGACUAGGGAUCGG
Molecule: ribosomal RNA, 469 nt
Filed under: uncultured Glomus
Lineage: Eukaryota; Fungi; Glomeromycota; Glomeromycetes; Glomerales; Glomeraceae
Description: SSU rRNA
Rfam family: Eukaryotic small subunit ribosomal RNA
Source: RNAcentral